Molecule: ribosomal RNA, 253 nt
Filed under: uncultured bacterium
Lineage: Bacteria
Description: partial 16S ribosomal RNA
Rfam family: Bacterial small subunit ribosomal RNA
Source: RNAcentral
GACAGAGGGUGCAAACGUUGCUCGGAAUUACUGGGCGUAAAGCGCGUGUAGGCGGGCUGAUAAGUCGGACGUGAAAUCCCUGGGCUCAACCCAGGAACUGCAUCCGAAACUGUCAGUCUGGAGUGGUGGAGAGGGAAGCAGAAUUCCUGGUGUAGAGGUGAAAUGCGCAGAUAUCGGGAGGAACACCGAUGGCGAAGGCAGCCUUCUGGGCCAACACUGACGCUCAUGCACGAAAGCGUGGGGAGCAAACAGG